GACGUAGGGGGCGAGCGUUGUCCGGAUUUAUUGGGCGUAAAGAGCUCGUAGGCGGUCUGUCACGUCGGCUGUGAAAACCCGAGGCUCAACCUCGGGCCUGCAGUCGAUACGGGCAAACUAGAGUACUGCAGGGGAGACUGGAAUUCCUGGUGUAGCGGUGAAAUGCGCAGAUAUCAGGAGGAACACCGGUGGCGAAGGCGGGUCUCUGGGCAGUAACUGACGCUGAGGAGCGAAAGCGUGGGGAGCGAACAGG
Molecule: ribosomal RNA, 253 nt
Filed under: uncultured bacterium
Lineage: Bacteria
Description: partial 16S ribosomal RNA
Rfam family: Bacterial small subunit ribosomal RNA
Source: RNAcentral